CAAUAUUCUGGUUUUUAUGUCCAAAUUCUCAGGUCCCAAGUUGUGGAAGAGAACUGACUUUGCCUCAGAAAAUCAGGUUCUCUUAAAGGCCUGCAACACUCUGGGAAACUUGAGCCUGAAACAAUCAAUCUUUCCUGAAACGGAGUGAUCUGUGAGGAAACUAAGAAAGAUAAAGAUGAGGUGAACUUUCCAAACCACAAAGACAUUUACCCUGGGGCUGGCAAACUCCAAGCGCUUUUAACCUUGGUCCUACAGCAAGUGAUGCAGCAGGGGUCAGGAUGCCAUUUUAAAGUCAAUUAUGCUAAAGGUCUUGCAACUUGUCCAGAAAAUGAAGCUUCUGAGAUGUGGAGCGUGGAAGUGACAGCAGAAAUUCAUCUCUGAUUCAUUUCUGAAUUGUUUGAUACACCAGAUAUCCAUCUUCAAUCAAAAGAAACAAAGAGAGAUGGAAUGGAGUUCAAGGAAGGAAAGUCGAGAUAUAUCAUCUGCCUGCAUCAACGUAUGAGCAGUCACCAGCUGAUGUCAUACAUUGCUUGAUGACGUUGAUAUUGCCGGAAAUGUGUCUAGGACUGAAAAUAGUAAGGAUAAAAAAAAUUGGCAGACUGUGUGCUUCCUUUCCUGAUUGAAUAAAAGGCAGAAAUGUCUGGAGAAAUUGGCAGGGCUCUACACCUACAUGGCAUUCAAAGUCUAUAAUUCUCUGAGAGAGCCUUAAGGAUUCCCAAAGCAAUGAUGAGACAAUCAAGGAAUGUGCAAUACCCGUGGCUUUGACCCGAACACUCCACAGUUCCUCUGGCCAGUGUAAGAGGAGCAGGCUGAUGGCUGCAUCACGUGGAUGCUGUAGACUUUGUUAAACGUUUUAGAGCUGUCCAAGUGGGUCCUGGACCCAAAAGGUGGAGCUGUACCAAAGCUGUACACACAGAGCAUCUGGGAAGCAAAAAAACUCGGAAUGGGGCACUGCCUGUCCACCUGAGCUGCAGAAUGAACUUUGCCUGCACCUAGGAGGGAAACUUGACCCUUAUAAAAAGUGACUACCUUCAUUUUAUGAUUGUAAUGUACUAAUAGCAACUCUUGGUAUAACCUGCAGGGCUGGAAAUAAUGAGGGAACCGAAUACAAUACUCCCAGGGCAUGGGCUUAAAGUGAUAACUAUUCAAGCGUAGCCUUUGACUAAUGCAGCUGCUCUUGCGCAUCAAAUAAUGUCAGAAAUGCCACACUUCAUAAGAUAGGGCUAUAAAGCUUCAUUGUGAUCCUUCAGCCCAAAAAUCCACGCUCAAAAAGCUAAAAAGUUUUUAAAUGUGCUGCAUGUCAUGUAGGGAAACGGACACAGGAAUGGAAAACAUUCCAGAUCACCUGCAUCACGUAAAAAUGUGUUCUCCCCUGUCAGUGUUUUCAGACAAACAUGCCAGCACACAUUGCUUUCUUACUUUAAUCUCUGCAGUUUUGUUUCUGCAGUAUUAGAUUAGCCAGAUAAGGGUACUGGAGGGCAGCCAACAGCAAUACCUGGAGAACAGCAUGGAUGCAUCUUAAAGCGUUUGGAUCGUGUGCUCCAAGCAAGCAUCUUGAGUCUGAUCCAUCCUGAGUUUAGCCAUGUUGGCAGCCAGGACAGGAACAGCUGAAGAAAAUGCAAGCACAAACAUUUUCUGCUUAGCAAAGGACCAGGACAUCAGAAUGAGCCCUCACACUGAUUCUUGCAAGGAAAAGCACCUGCUUUUGUUGUGUUUUCUGGGACAAUUCCUGCGAUAAUGAUGGUGUUACAGAAAUAGUCAUUCAAGGGAAAAAACACAUCUCAAGCAUGGGCUGAAGCAGCACCUGUGUUUGCCUGGGUUUGAGGGGACAAAGUCCCACUGUCACUUGCUAGAGGCUUGCAAACCAGCUUCUAGCUGUGCCUGUGGAAGGAGCAGGUGCCUCUGAGGGCACACUGGCCAGUCUGGGAGUUUAAUUAGACAUUGCAGCCCCUAUUCCAGGUAAAUGGUCUUGAAGUCAAUUAAAUGCAAGAUGAUGAUUUUUCUUUUUUGUGAAAAGAUAUUCUGGUCUCUUUCUUCCUUUUUUUUUUCUUAGCUGGUAAUUGGUAUUUUAAAACCAAUUGUCACUGCUAGUUCAGGUAAAAUAAUUUUCAUGCUUACCAAAACUCAGAAGUGCCUAUCAGUCUGAAAUAAAGAGUGCCUUUUUAUUUCAUUAAGAAAGUUCAGGCAAGCUGUUGUUUGCCAGUUUGCUGCCACUGGGAAAGCAGCACUUCCCUAAAGGAUGGUGGGCCACAUUCAGAGCUGAUGUGGCAGGCAGGCACCCUGACUGCUGUACCAUGCUCUGCACAAAGCUCCUCUCCUGGGCCCACACAACCCAGGUGAACUGGGCAGCUUUUCAGAAAUACAGUGGGAUUAUCCUAAAAGGCCACAAUUUACCAACACUUGCACUGCAUCUUAAAUAUCCAGUUUUCUCUAGAGAUGUAAUAGGCAAGCUCUUACUCUUCCUUAAUGUCUGACUCCUGUUGCCAUACAAUGCAUCCUGUUCAGCAGCACCCCAAAUACUCUGGUCCAACACACAAUUUAUUUACCCUUCAAGGGUGAUUUGCAGUAACUUCAAAUGACCAAACAAAAGUGUUUGCUCCUCUCUGCAAGUCGUUGUCUACUGCAAACAACCCUUAACCUCUUCUUCCUUCCCCAACAUGUAACCACAGGUUGCUGCAGUUCUGGCUCCUGCUGCCAUCAGUAAACACCGUGGCUUCCUAAAUCACUGCUCCUCAGAGGCAUUUCCCAGACUUCUUCAUGCUCCAUAGGAUAAAGUCAGAGGGUUCUUCUGCUUGUUUCUUUCUUUUUUUCUUUUUUUUCCUUGUUUUUGACAAAGCAAAAUAUAUUUCAAUGUGCCUUUAUUGUUGGUUAAUGAGCUAUUUGUUGCACAAUAAGCAUUUCACAAGAGCGAUUUCAAAUUCUGCUUCAAACAAUCCAUUUUAGCAUCCAAAUAUAUUCCCAACCUGGGUGCUCACCAGUGCUGUCAGACCUGCCACCCUCCUCUCCUGCAUCCCACUCUGGAUGUGAAAUUUCAGCAAAUAUUACACAGCAUCUUGCAAGAUAUUUUCAGUUUUAGCAUCCUUUGACAACAUAAGAGGUUCUUCAGCUCUCUCCAUCCAGCCCAUGCAGCCCCAGGAGGAGGGCAAGGCUCUGCCUGGGAGGUUGGGGACACCUGUGACAAACUCUGGGGUUGCAGUGCAUGUCAGGAGUCCAAAUCUUGUUUUCAACUUUCACUCCUCUACAAUUUUUUCCUGGAAAAUAUUCAAUACUGAGGCAAUCAUUUGCUCUCUUUUUUUAUUACCCUUGGCUCUUCUCUGUUAUAUAAACCAGCUAAUUUUCAAAGUCAUCUUCUGACACAAAGGCAUAGACAAGCUGGGCACAAAAAUGCUCUGGGCAACAUUUCAAAGCAGUGGCAAAGCUUCUUGAUGGUAAAAAAAAGUUUUAAAAAAGCCUCUCUUGUUCUUCCAUGCAGUGCCCAAUUUUUGUUUUGCUGUAUAGUACAAAGAAAAAAAUAUUUUACCACUAAUGCUAUCAGCAGUGCAUUAAGUGAAAAAAGAACAAUGGUACCUUUGAAGGGCUGUUCUUGACAGAAUUAGGAACACAUAUGGGCAGUACAGUGACUAAAAUUCAUGUCUGGCCAACAUUUGCUGGUGUUUAUCCUUGACUAUUGCUAAAGAGACAGGUGUGUUUAUAUGUAUGUGUAUAUAUAUAUAUAUAUACACACACAUAUAUAUAUAUUAGAUUUGUGGAGUUUUCUGGGUGAAAUAAAACCAAAUACUCCCUAAGAGCUUAAAGCAGAAACCUCAUUUCAAACCUUCCCUUUAGGACAGUGAGUUAAAACCACCCAGAUGGUCACAUCCUGUGUAUUAAUACACUUUUUCAUUUGAAGAGCUGCUGAGCUGGGCUAAGGGACUAAACCUAUUGAAAGUGCUACGUUUCCAACACUGCUUCUUAUUAUUGCUUCUUUCUUUUAUUAUUGGGGGUGUCUUGGUGUGUACCAGGUGUCAUCAUGGUGGAGAAAAGAGAAUGGCAAAAAACUAAACCUUUCUUCUCAAAGGACAAUGUUAUAAAAUAUCAACUCUUAAAGGCCCAGUAAGGAAAAAACUUUUAGGAACAUGAUUGACUAGUAGAUUGCAGCCAGAAAAGCUUUCAAAGCAUCCAAUCUGGGCCAGUGACUGGAAAAAUAAUAUCUGUAUGCCCUAGAAAAUGCAAGAGAAAACAUGUUUAUUUGUGCAUGAUUGUUUCUUUCACUGACUUUUCUUAUAUACCAUGAAAUAUGUAUGGUUUUGUAAAAAAUUAGUGUGUGUCUAUACAGGCAUUUACAAAAAAUACCUCAUUUUAAGAAAAAAAAAAUCAUUCCAGACUAUUACUGGGCUGAGUGCAGUCAUUAAGCAUUAUACACUGAUAGCUUAUUGUUCACUUAUGUGAUAAUUUUACUUCCAAUUAUAUCUGGGUAAUGAAUAAAGACAGUUAAGACUUUAACCUAUUUUCAGAAACCAGAGUUCUAUCAACAUGCAGUUAUUUAUGCUAAUGAAAAUAAUGAUCUUUUUAUAGUGCUUGUCACUGAAACGGAAUGAUGUCCUGCCAACUGUGCAUGUUUGCCAGUGGCUACAAAUUAAUCAGCUAAACUGGAGUGGUAAUUGGAGUAGAGACAAGUCAAGGGUCAGCCAGGCCAGCUCUGGCAGAAAAGCUUUUGAAGAUGAAUGCCCUGUGCAGCACAGAAAACAAAAGAACUUGUUUAUAUAAUGCCGUUGUUUAAUUAAAUCUAAGCAGCUGUUUCAUUAAGAGGUCUCUGAAGAUGAAUGUGGAAGGUGAUGGGCAGGGGAAUCAAAAUGUGAUGAUGAUUGUGUUAUACAGGAUUACGCUGUACAUUUACCUCACACCUCACACCUGCCUAAUGAAAUUAUUCCAUCGAGCUCGGGAUUAUAAACUGCAGACAGACAGCAGAGUGCAACCCCUGGCACUGAGCACACACAUUUGGAGGGGCUGGCUCAGCCUGACUGAGCCUGAGCACAGCUCCACCUCGGUGCUCCACAAGUGGCUGCCCAUGGCAGAUGUCCCUGUGUACCAAGUGACAUCCUCACUGUCCUCCCCUGUUUUAUUUUGGCUCUCUGUCAGGGGUGAAACACGGGAAGUGCUUGGGCCUUGCUUUGCUCAAACAGCUUCUUUUUUUUUUUAAUCUUCUUUCUUUUCACCUUUUUACCUCCUUGGCACCUUCUCUGCUGUUUCUUUACCUUGUAGGCACAACUAGCAGUUGCUCUGGGCAGAAUGUGUGACUGUGCUGGACAUUUCUCUGCACCAGGGGUGGAUUCCUCCUGGCAACCACGGCACUGUGGUUUGGGGAGAGGCUUGCAGGGAACUGUGAUGGUCCCAUAACGUGCUGCAGAAAAGGGAUGGAGGAAACCUCCAGAAGUGCAUCUCCACAGGCUGAAAACCACUCUGUUCUCCUUGAAGUUGACCCAGUGUGGAAAAUUCCCUGCUUUUCAUCCCACCCUGUGCUUGUGCGAAGAGCUUAAGCAAUUAUAGAGGGAGUGUUCCUCUGCUGCAGGUUCAGAAGCUCUGGUUGGCUGGGUAGGAAGGAGCAGCCAUGGACAGGAGCCUGGAAAUGUCACAGGAAUAGUAGGAAUUUGAUCAUUAUUCAGGUAUCUGACAUUUUAAAAUACACUGUUAACCUCCACAGUUACAAAGGACAAACUGGAAAACAUGGCAGCAGUCUCCUGUAAGGACUCACAAACCAUAAGACAGAGAAAAAAUACACCAGACUUUCACAUUUCUAAAGCAUCCUCUGAUUUUCUGCAUUGGCUUUGUAUUAACACAAAAUUCAGAAUUUUGCCACCAAAGGAGUUAGGGGUCUGGAUGGUGAAGGCUUUCCUUGCUUUUUCAGUCCAGGCUGCAGCUCAGAUCUCAUCAGAAGCUGCAGACUCCCUGCCUUGGGAGCCACGGGCAGCAAGGAUGCUCACGGACACCCUGGUCCUUGCAGCUUCUGAUACACAGCUCUUGCCACAUCUAGUGAAUAUUUUCAAGAGUUUUCAUGUCCCCAUUAGUAAAAAAAAAAAAAAAACACAUUCUGUUGAAGGUCCUGGUCUUGAAUUAUGAGAUCCUUAAGUAUGUUUGCAGUAUAGAUAAUAUAAUAUUUAAAAACUGGCACUGGUUGAAAAAGUUUUCACAAGGGUUUAAAUUUCCUCCAGAAAAAUGUAUUUUAUGACAUUCAAAGCACAUUAUGGGAGUAUUCCAUUUUUACUUUCUUUUAUUCAGUGCAGACUCAAAGAAUAUUUCCUCAAUGAUAGAUGUGGAAGCAUUUUGCCUACAGAUGAAAAAUAAAUUUACAAAUUCUAAUUUUCCAAUGAAAUGUAUUACAAGCAAUUUAUCUUCGAGUCAUUCAGCCACUUCCUCUGAUAAAAUGCUUACAUGAUGAGAAACUUACCCUAGCCAGAUUCAAUAGGAUCUUUGUCAUUCCUUCCUAUUUAAGAACUUUCUAUGGCCCCAUUAAGAGCUUGCACUGCUGUGUGUUGUUAAAGGCAGAAGCCUCAUUGCAUCCCAAAAGACACCACAAGGCAUUCCUUUGGGAAUAUCUUUCUUUCCUUAAUAGGUCAACAAUUUUGAUCUGUGCUGGAUGGGAACAAGAGCAGGAGAAGGAGCUCACCAUCCCUAUUUAAAGGAUGUUUAACAGGCUAUUGACAAGCCACCUUUCAUCAGGGAUCACCAGGUGUCUUCGGGCUGUUAGAACACAAAUCCUGUUCCUCUUGCCUUACAACACCGCUCCAUUUCAGAGGUGUUUGUGAUCCUCAAGCUGAAGGGCCUUUCCCCAGGGUGUCUCAGGGUGGAUAACAGCAGGAAUCCCCCAGCCCUGUGCUCAGCGAGGCCCUGCUGUCCUUUGUGGCCAUGAAGGUGAGCUUCUGAAGGAUCCAGCCUUAUUUGAGUAAAGCACUGUACCAUAUCCUAUUAAAUUGGCACCCCUGACUGCUUCUGUGAGCUUGGCCCUGUGCAAUUUUCAAUAAAAUGUAAUUAUUUUGUAAGGUGUGUAAAGAGCUUAUUCAAGGCACAUGCUCAUUAAGCUCUUUCAGUGGUCAUUAACAUCAACCCCUAAAGGACAACAAUGGCAAUAAUGCAAGAUGGGACUGAGGACUAUUGCAUUUCUCAGGAGAGCUCAGCAGAGGGAUUUAACAGCACUGAUCCUCUGUCCCAGCCUUCUUCUACGGCCAGGAGAAUGAGGAUGCUCAGAAUUAGUUAAUGAUCCUUAUAUUACUCUUGGACUAAUCUGGAAGCUUGGCAUUUAAUUGGGAAGAGCCUAGCAUUCCAGAUGGAUUUGAUGGUGAUACACAGGAAUGAGUGGUCAUUUCAGAUCAGUUUGGAGAGGCCAGGUGAGAGAUGCUCUGUUCAGACAGCAGAAUGAGCCACCAUCACUCCAGGGACUCCCUUCAGCUGCAGAAGGGUGGGAAUGUGCAUGUGCAGGGAUCUGUGCAGAGCAGGAAGCUCUGUGUGUGCAGGAGUGUGGAAAGACCUCACCCAGUGGAUUCAGGGAGAGAUGGAAGGGUGACUGCACGUGGAGGCUGGAUGUGCUCCACUGGUUCUCCACCUCAUCUCAGAAUUAACAGGCUGAUCUGGGUUUGCACUGCUGUAACUGGGACCAGGUUCAGCCCUUCAGAGUUCUGCACCAUGGUGGUCCCCAAAUCACCACGGCUCUGUGUCCUCACAGCUCUCUGCUGUGAGCUCUCAGAGACCAGAAUGAGGUCCUGGACCUUCUCUUCCUUCUAGUUUGGAAUUAGAGUCUCUCAGCUUGUUCUCCUCUUUCCUUCCAGAAAGACAUCAUGGGUGUUAUAUCCUCCUGACCAGACUGAUCUGACUCACUUGAUCUACUGCACUCAGAAAAAAAUAAAAAAACCCAAGGUAAUUCUUCCCUGACUCAGAAUCUGGAAACAGUGAGACUCCCUGAUGUAUUUUCAAUGAGUUAUGUGCUCCAGAGGAAAAGCAAAACACACAAACAUUUAAUUUCUGUGCAGCCCUGCCACCAGAGCAGUGUCCAUGGCCUGAGCCCUGCUGCUCUCCCUCUGCCCAAGCAGCUGCACCAGGCAUGCCUGGCACUCCCAAACCUGACUGCCUCCUUCACUGGGGACUUUGAAACGUAUUUUAACUCCUGUACUCACAACCUGGGCCCCCUCACUUACCAAAUGUACCUGACAGACCCUCCAGGCAUCCAAGUCCUGACCUCACCUGGCUGCUCAAAGGACAGUCCCUGUGUGAGCAGGCUCAGCCAGCUCAGGAAGAGCUACAGAAAACUGUACCCCUGAAAAGGAGAAUCGUUCUGUCUGUGUGAGGAUUGAUCCCCCAGCCCACUGGGAUGUUAUCUACAAUGAGAGCUGCCUGGCCAGCAUCCAGGCCUGUACUGCAGCUUUGGCCACUCAAUGAAAAGCAGAGGCCAAGGGGCAGAGCUCAUUCUGCAGAGCUCUCUGGGUAUUACAGGUUUAACGAAAGUCUGAACUUUUUUUAU
This is a long non-coding RNA of Prinia subflava (tawny-flanked prinia), 8488 nucleotides long. RefSeq lists it as uncharacterized. NCBI's taxonomy places the organism in Eukaryota, Metazoa, Chordata, Aves, Passeriformes, Cisticolidae. The transcript is spliced from 6 exons. The record is from RefSeq and is a predicted model, not a curated record.